GCGAGCGUGGCCAAGUGGUUAAGGCAGCGGAUUGUGAUUCCGCCAUUCGUGGGUUCAAGUCCCAUCGUUCGCCCUA
Molecule: transfer RNA, 76 nt
Filed under: Cyanothece sp. UBA12306
Lineage: Bacteria; Bacillati; Cyanobacteriota; Cyanophyceae; Gomontiellales; Cyanothecaceae
Description: tRNA-His
Rfam family: tRNA
About the family: Transfer RNA (tRNA) molecules are approximately 80 nucleotides in length. Their secondary structure includes four short double-helical elements and three loops (D, anti-codon, and T loops).
Source: RNAcentral